UGGGGAAUUUUGGACAAUGGGCGCAAGCCUGAUCCAGCCAUGCCGCGUGAGUGAAGAAGGCCUUCGGGUUGUAAAGCUCUUUCGGCGGGGACGAAACGGUCCGUACUAACACUACGGAUCACUGACGGUACCCGCCGAAGAAGCACCGGCUAACUACGUUCCAGCAGCCGCGGUAAUACGUAGGGUGCAGGCGUUAAUCGGAAUUACUGGGCGUAAAGCGUGCGCAGGCGGUCUCUUAAGACAGGUGUGAAAUCCCCGGGCUUAACCUGGGAACUGCGCUUGUAACUGAGAGGCUUGAGUGUGCCAGAGGGGGGUGGAAUUCCACGUGUAGCAGUGAAAUGCGUAGAGAUGUGGAGGAACACCGAUGGCGAAGGCAGCCCCCUGGGGUAACACUGACGCUCAUGCACGAAAGCGUGGGGAGCAAAC
This 426-nucleotide ribosomal RNA is filed under the name uncultured bacterium. Its description in RNAcentral is "bacterial SSU rRNA". It matches the Rfam family "Bacterial small subunit ribosomal RNA", at positions 355 to 773 of the family's 1533-position model. The record is from RNAcentral.